Molecule: non-coding RNA, 73 nt
Filed under: unclassified sequences
Description: c-di-GMP sequence
Rfam family: c-di-GMP-I riboswitch aptamer
About the family: GEMM was predicted in a large-scale screen for bacterial structured RNA regulatory elements. Genes associated with GEMM are involved in a diverse array of functions, including chemotaxis regulation, signal transduction, secretion and chitin.
Source: RNAcentral
UGUGUGAAAUGCAAACCUAGAGAAAUCUAGCGACGCAAAGCUAUAGGGCCUGAAAAGGCAGCCAGUUACCUCA